Molecule: long non-coding RNA, 3212 nt
Filed under: Homo sapiens (human)
Lineage: Eukaryota; Metazoa; Chordata; Mammalia; Primates; Hominidae
Description: HSALNT0264774
Source: RNAcentral
GACCAAAGCCAGUUUUUCAGCCCUUAACAAGAACCUGGCUUCACCCAGCCAAACAUGAGUUAACGUAUCCAUUUUACACACGAACAAACUGAGGCGCAGAGAUGAUCACAGCUUGUUGGUGGCAAACUCCGCUAGGGCCUUCUCUGCUACCCUAAGGAGGUCCGACCGUAUGUUUUGGACCCCUUAACUCGGGAUACCGAUAAACGAAAAUUAAUAGGGUGUUGGAUGUUUUAAAUGUGUGCGGGAAUGUCAUUAUAUUGGCUAGAAUCAAACCUUAUUUAGACUUGUUUUGCACUUUUGUACACUUUAGUAAUUUUUAGUUUUAAUCAUAAGGGAGUUAAAGGCGAACACAACUGGUAUUUUUUUUUUUUUUUUUUUUUUUUUGAGACAGGGUCUCGCUCGGUCACCCAGGCUGGAGUGUAAUGCUGCGAUCUCGGCUCACUGCAACGUCCGCCUCCCGGGUUCAAGAGAUUCUCCUGCCUCAGCCUCCCGAAUAGCUGGGCGUGCCACCACGCCCGGCUGAUUUUUGUAUUUUUAGUAGAGACGGGGUUUCACCAUGUUGGCCAGGUUGGUCUCGAACUCCUGACCUCAAAUGAUCCGCCCGCCUUGGCCUCCCAGAAUGCUGGGAUUACAGGCGUGAGCCACCGCGCCAGGCCGACAACUGGUAUCUUAAGGCUUAGGGCCUCUGGUAGAAGUGAGCUCCACCUCCCUUCCUGUGUAGAAGGAAUCACCUGGCGGUCUUGUGAAACUGCAGCUUCUAAUGGGCAAGUCAGAGGGGAAGCCUGAGACAUGGCAUUUCCAGCACGUUCGGGGAGUGAAGAUGCUGUCGGCUGCCACCCUCCCUGCAAGGAGCCAGGGGAUAGAUGACCUCUACGCAAACUCUCCCCUCAAUGGGAAGUAGAAUCUCUUUCUCCACCUCUUCAAUAUGGCUGGCCCUGGAACUUCCCUUGGCACACAGAAUGCAGCAGAAUUGGCUUCAUGUUGUUUCUAAGCCUUGGCCUCAGAGGCCUUGCAUGCUUCCUAACCCUGGCUCUAGGAAACUUGCUGCUGUCAUGUAAGCAAGCCCAGGCUAACCUACUGAAUGUUGGUGUGUCCCAGUCAAAUCCAGCACUGCAACCAAUAGCCAGGCAGCCACCAGACAUGUGAGUGGGGCCACCUCACACCAGCCAACCUCCACCAAGUCAUCAGAUGUAUGAGUGAGAACAGCCCAGAACAACUGAGCCCGUCCAGACCAGCGGAACAACCAAGCUGACCAGUAGACUUAGGAGCAGUAAACAGAUGAUUGUUAUGGAAGCCAUUCUGUUUAGGGUGUGUGUGUUAUUGCUUGCAUCCAAAUACAUCCUAUCUCAUCUAAUGAGAAAAGGCCCUGCUCAAGGGCUUUUGCAGCUGUAGUUGGGCGCCGGAAGUGUCUUUGUGGUCAUUUCUUACUCCAUACACGGGGAGAUCAAGGCUCAGACCAGGUAGUGUGACUGUGGACAACACUUUCCUUACCCCUCUGUGACACUUAAAUCAAUGAAGCAGAUUCACAGAAGCAUGCAUGCUCACUGAACACAGUAUUUGCAUUCCUACCUCCAAACCUUUGCUCCACCCAUGCAUCCAGUAAGAAUGCCUACUUCCCUCCUCUCCUCCAUCGAGUUCUUUCUUUGAGUUCUACCUUCCCUAGUCUUCCUCCACUGCACCAACCCACGGUGAUCCCUGUCUCUUCCAAAUGCUUUGUAACAUGGUAGGCAUCACUCACUUGUGACUCAUUGGACCAUUUUAAAACUUGGUUUUCUGUGUCUCUUUUCCAACAAAAUUACAAAUUCUUUGAGGGUAAAAGUCAGGCCUAAUAGUUCUCUGUACUCCUAGUAGUGCCAGUGUGGUAAAAAUUUAACUUGACAAUUAGCAAAACCAAUAAAUUCCUUACACUAUUCUGUUCCUGUAGGUAAUCAGUAUAUGAAUAUGGAUUCCUAUGUGAUGAUUUUCUGGUCUAUUUUGUCCCUUUUUUUUUUUUGUUACUUUAACCAGGCCAUAACAUAAAGGUUAUGCCAUUUGUUACUGUCAAGCUUAAUUAAGCCCAUUAUAAUUCGUUAACCCCUGUGCUUGCUUUGUAAUUAACAUUGAUUAACACAAACAAGUACAAAAUAGGCCAUCAGCACUUUCCAGAAGUGCUGAUUACAAUUACAUUGGUAAUUCAAUACGGUAUAGAAGAUGGCAGGAUAGUAACUUGCACUCUGUUUACAUAAGGAGACAAAUGCUACCAUGCAAAACUAAGCCAAGAAACAAAAUACUUUCCUCAUCCAACUCACUGAUUAAACCCUUACCCUGUUAACUCACCCUAUGACUGUGUAAACCUCCAGUAAGAUUAUUGAAGGCACAGCUCCAAGUAACUUGCUUAAUUGCAUUCCUGGGACAAAAGAGGGAAGCGCUUCAAAGCUGACAGACAGAUGGUAGAGUGUCCAGUCACAGCAAAGCAGGCCCCGAGGCUCAUGACAGACAACUCCAGGGCUGAGAUCUCAUUUGUAGCUCUGGGAUAAAGUCCAGGGUUUGAUGGCAGCAGGCUGAAGUGUAAAGAUGCUCAACAAUGCGCACCCCAGAGACACUGAAUCUGAAAAAGCUUAGAGUGAAUAAAAAUCUGGAAAUGAACUCUGUCUGUCUAUUCACCAUUCCCCCCAUAAAAAAAUUCCUAUAUUCCGGAUGGUGUUCAAGUUCCCUUUCCACAGGACCUCAGCAGUCAGGGAGGUGCUCCUGCAAUCUAUGUGAAGGAGAUUUCACCAUGCCCACAUGGGAAUACAGUAGAUUGCCAGUAGGGAUGCCACACCUUUGCAUUUCCUCGUAUUUCCAGGAACAAAGCUGGGGUGCCUAGGAGCUGCAGCAGUUUUUCUUCUGUGUAAAAUAAGCAAGCAGGACUCUGCCCCACUGCACUCCAGGGAAGGAUUAAGAGAAUUGAUAUCAUCCAAAUCAAUUGGCCCUGUGCAGAUGACUUGAUAAUGAGGCCAUUGAGUUUUUAUGGUUCACUAUUAUUGCUACAAAAAUUAUGCUGCAGAAAUCAUUCAAAUGCUCAAAAAGGAGCAUUAGUACGAAACUGGGUGUUCCAAAGUUGUUGCUGAGAGGUGUGUAAUGUUCCUGAAGAUCCCCAAGGCACUAAGACUUCUCUGUACAUGAAUGACUCAUAGAGAAGAAAUACACCAGAUGAAAAUAUAUGGAGAAGUUUGCCGAAUGUCAUAUAACUU